GUAAACAGCCGCUGGCCGCCGGCCGGCCGCCCUGCAGGGCAGCCCGGGGACCUGCCCCCGGCGCCACGCCCGGCGCCCCGGGGAGGCCCAGCCCGCAGGCCCCGCCGACUGGGCGCCGCGCCCUGGGAACGUGCACCGGGGCAGGCAGCCCGGCCUCACCUGGCCCCAGCGCGGAGCCGGAUCACACCUGCCUGCUGGGUGAGCCGAGGGCAUUCGCGGAAGGGAAGAGACAAGACCUGGGAAGGGACGCCUGUGGCUUAGAAAGACCCUCAGGCAGGGCCGGGCGUGGGGCGCGCUGAUAAAAAUUCCUGGAGCUGUAUUAUUCACAUCGCAGAUUUGUCCCUUUGCCUCAAUCUAAAAGGAAUGGGAAAGAACAGCCGCUGGGCUCUCAUUUGCUUCCAGCUUACACAGAUUCAACUAUCAAUUAUCCCAGAGGAGAGGCGUGCAGUGCAGGGCGUUGGGCCACGAAACUGAAAGCUGCUGGCGAGGCGCGUGGGGGAGGUCGAUUUCUGCGUCCUGCUGCCUCCACGCACAGUGAGAACCCACCCCGCCACUGCGUUCCUGUCCUCACAGCACAGCAGGACGAAAAUGUCUUCUGUUGGGAUCCCAGAGAAGAUCCAGACGCUGACACCUGCCCCUACCUCUCUACUUCUCAUCAUACCGGUCACCUGGAAGAAGGGUCCAUUCAAAGCAAAGCCUGUAGCCAAUGAGUUGUUUCUGCCAUCAAACAGUCAAGCAUAUGAGGCCCAAUAGGCAGUCCUGUUUUUUUUGUGACAGAGUCUCACUCUGUCGCCAGGCUGGAGUACAGUGGCGUGAUCUCGGCUCACUGCAACCUCCACCUCCCGGGUUAAAGUGAUUCUCCUGCCUCAGCCUCCCGAGUAGCUGGGAUUACAGAUGCACGCCACCACGCCGGCUAAUUUUUGUAUUUUUAGUAGAGACGGGGUUUCACCAUGUUGGCCAGGAUGGUCUCGAUCCACUGACAUCGUGAUCCGCCCGCCUCGGCCUCCCAACGUGCUGGGAUUACAGAUGCGCCGGCCAGGCAGUCCUGUUAAGCCAUGCCACACAGCUUAAAAAAAGACACUGGCAAGCUCAAGUCCCGAAGUUACCAGCUGAAGGAAGAGACUUAAACCAAACCAAGGGCUUCCUAUGACAGUUCUGAAAUACCCUCUUCCCUCUUGAGUCCAUACAACUGAGAAAAUAGAACGGCCAGUCACCGUGGCUCGUGCCUGUAAUUCUGGCACUUUGGUAGGCAGAGGCAGGCAGAUCACCUGAGGUCAGGAGUUUGAGACCAGCCUGGCCAACAUGGUGAAAGCCCGUCUCUACAAAAAUACAAAAAUUAGCCGGGCAUGGUGGCGCAUGCCUGUAGUCCCAGCUACUCGGGAGGCUGAGGCAUGAGAAUUGCUUGACCCGGGAGGCGGAGGUUGCAGUGAGCUGAGAUCGUGCCACUGCACUCCAGCCUGGGUGACAGAGCGAGCCUCUGUCUCAAAAAGAAAAAACAACAACAAAAAGGGAAAACCAAAGGUAAAAUUUGAUCCACAGGACUGGCCACAUUUCUACACUGGUAAAAUCAUGGCCUUGCUGAAGCAUUGAUCAGGAAGGGAUAAGACCCAGAGAAUCCAAAUGGAGACAAAUGAGAGGAUUUGGAAAACCUGAAGUUCUCUGAAUCACCCAGUCCUCAAAGAGCCUCCUUCGUCAGCGGAAACCCUCUUCUCCAGUCUUCUGACACACUUCGUAACGACACUGCCAUUUCUUUGCAUCCUUUGCAGUCUCACUGCAAGAGCAAGCCAGUUCUCAUGCAUUACCCUCGACUGUCUCCAGAAUGGACAGUUAGAUCCCAGCACUUCAGAAAGAAGGACAAUGGCAAGCUCAAACCAGCGAGGAUCAAGAUUAGAAACCAACAUGAUUUUGGGAUUUUCCUAACUAAGGGUGCUUAAUAAAUGGGUGGAAAGGUAUCAUUUUACACUGGUCUGAUGUUGUUGAUAUACAUUGCAGAGAUUCUGGAUUGACUGUGCUAGCAGGAGAAGCUGGGAGUGACUUCUGAGCUGGACUGACCACUGGACGCCAAGUGAUUAUCCCUAAUGUAUUACAUGUCAUUUGCAACCCAAGCUGUCCGUCAUGUACUGGGCCAUCUGACACACUCAUAAAAUCCCAUUACCAACUGGAAAUGGUUUAUGUGGGACUAGCUCCUAACCAGGUACUGAAGGCACAAGUGCAUUAUAUGCAUAGGUAGAUCAUUCCCUGUGUGCCUACCCCUGACCCUUUCAUCAAUCUAACACCGGCCUCAAAGGGGUUUCCCAAGAGCUAGUGACUAAGAGAGGAAAAACCACUGAUCCUCAUUUACAGAUAGCUUCACACCAUAUGCUUGCCUACCUUUUUUUUUUUUUUUUUGAGACGAAGUCUCGUUCUGUCGCCCAGGCUGGAGUUCAGUGGUGCGAUCUCAGCUCCCUGCAACCCCUGCCUCCCGGGUUCCAGCAGUUCUCCUGCCUCAGCCUCCCGAGUAGUUGGGAAUGCAGGCACAUCAUUGCUUCAACUGAUUCAUGAGCAGAAGAGUCUUUGCUGGCAACACAUGAACUGUGAUGGAUUCAAUCACUUAGGCUUUCCAUUAUCAAUGCAGACCUGGCCCCUGGGUGCACAGGGUUAUCAGUGACCACCCCUGAAUGCCGCAACUGACCAGACUCCAGGGACACCAUGGACUACUUAGUUGCAGACUGAUGACUUUGGACCUCUUCCAUUAUGGAAAGGGCAGUGAUUUCUUUUCACUGAAACAGGCUCAUGUCUGACUUUGGAACUGACCUCUCUGCCUGUAGAUCAUCAUGGCAUGCUCUACAAAAUUGCUUCUGACAACGGAAUUCACUUUACAGUGAAAGAGGGAAAGCAGUGGGUGAUACCCUUGUCAAUGGAUCCUGUCACCCAGAAGCAGUCAUCUGUAUUCAGCUGUGACAUGAUUUAUUGAAGAUUUCAUUUCAGGACUGAGAGACGAUCAUACCUAAGGAGAUUGAAAUAUCGUCCUUUAAGAUGCUUGUUUGUUCUGAACUAGGGAACAUCACGUGGUGCCGUUUCUCCCACAGCCAGACUAAACAGGUCUGGAGGAAGGGGAAGUAGGCACGGUGCAACUUCCAUCUUACUUAAUGACUCUCACUCUCUUCAACUUUUUUUCCACCAAUUAGCGAUUUUAUUCCCAGGAAAGGAAGGUUGCACCAUUGAGGCAGCUGACCGUUGGGGUGGCUCCCUUUGGAAAGGGGAUAUAAAGUGUUUGUAUGAGUGAUGGUUCCAUUAAAGCAGACAUUUUUUAAAAAGGUGAAAUUUGGGGAAUUAGAGUGAAUAUAGAUGUUGAACAGAAAAAGAGUGAUAUAGCAAUAGUCUGGACAUGUGGGCUGGCCACCUGGAAUUUCACAUGCCAUUAGGUCAAAAAAGUGGGUUGACAAGGCUGGCUGCAGUGACUAGUCCUGGGAAAAUGCUGCUAUACCACGGGAGACAGGCCAGGGUGGAGGCUAUGAAUGAAACUCAAGUGGUUCUCUCAGGAGCCGCCUCCUCCUCCUCCUCCAGCGGUGGGAGUUAAGGGAAGACUGUUACCAUCAUGCAUAUGGGCAGGGCCUCCUUGGUCUCUGUGCCCUUAGGAAAGAGGAAUAGGGUCACGGCUAGUAGGUCACACCCCAGUCAUCUAAGGUACUGGCUGAAGACAGCAUGGACUUGGAAUGGAAACUGGAAGCGGGAAACCUAAACAUCAUCCAGGGUCUCUUCUCUAGGGCAGGAAAUGGGUGCUGUAGCUUCUACUUGUACUUCCUGUGUUGUGUGUAUCCUAUUUUAACUCAUUGCCUCUCUUUCCUCUCCCGUUAUUCGUUUUAUUGUAUAUGGGAUGAACGGUUAUGGUUAACUUUACACUUCAGCUCAAAGAUACAGAAUAAUGAGAUGGGCUUGUUAUCCCACGGAGGUGGGGUAUCCAUUACUCACAGACCUUGAGUACAGGAGUUGAAAGACAUUGGGGUAACCCCGUUGGAAAGGGAAUGAAAGAAGUUUUGAUUGUAUGAGGAAUAGCUACAUAUUUUAAGCAAGAGUUUUUUCUUUAAGUAAAACUAGAGGAAUUAGAGUAUAUGUUGAUAUUGAACAGCAAAAGAGUAAGGCUGUAAUGAACUUAAUAGACCCUUUUUUUUUUUUCUAUUUUGGCUCUGCACCAUAUGAACUCAUUCCCAAAUUUGGAAAAUCCACUAUUUUGCGAGUCUUGGGAAGGGGCAAGAUCAGCUAGUUCAUGGGCACAGGAUCUAAGCUCUGGCAGCUGGAUGUUCUGAUCUAGAACUUCGAAUGUGGAGCCAGG
RNAcentral lists this long non-coding RNA (4312 nucleotides) under Homo sapiens (human). RNAcentral's name for it is "HSALNT0244929". Lineage: Eukaryota; Metazoa; Chordata; Mammalia; Primates; Hominidae. The record is from RNAcentral.